CUAACACACAGUGAAAAAAGGUAAGGAACCGCUCGAGCUUGAGUGUCCUUCUCCUCGUCGUCGUCGUCGUCGUUGCUGAGGAUAUUAAUGAGUUUUGGCGUUAAAAUUAAUUGCAUUCUGGAACUUUGAGAAAGAUUUCCAUUUCAAUGCUGGCCAAGUGGCGGGGUCCUGUGUUGGCUGUCCUUUCGAGGUUUAGCAAAAGCAGCGGCACUGACCAGAAAAGGACGAUAGUUUCCGCAGCACUCAGCAUGGAGGCAAGGGUUCUUUCUGCCCUCUCUUCACUUUAGAGGGGAAGCUGACACAGCAGGCGGGUCUUAAUAUUUAACAUAAAACCGAAAAAUGAAAUGAAAUGCGACAAGUCUCCAGUCUCCACUCCACUGUCCAUGAACUGAACUGAAUGUCCCUGCUCCUUUGCCGAAUGGCGGAUGAUGGCAAAACCUUUGUCAAG
RNAcentral lists this long non-coding RNA (448 nucleotides) under Drosophila guanche. The record is from RNAcentral. Lineage: Eukaryota; Metazoa; Arthropoda; Insecta; Diptera; Drosophilidae.